CUAUAUCAUACGUAAACUUAAAACCAUGCAAUCAAAUUUCCAUUAAAACAUAAAUUGGAAAAAAUUAUGAAAAUGGAUGUCGUAAAGUCAAACCUGAGAGGACAGGUUGAACAUUGUUGAUGGUAAUGCAAAGGGCCAAGAGUGGCGUGAGGUCUAUAACCAUCUCUUGAACUUGUGAAUCGUUUGAAAACAAGUAGGGAUAAUGGUUUCUGAAGAUGAUAAGAAUAAGGGCUAUCGUAACACCAAUCAUAAAUGAAUACGACACUGCCACCAACAAUGAAAAUUUCGCUGUUCUAGGAUGCCCUGAUCCCAAUUCAUUUGAAACCCUCACGCUGCACUUUCAUUCAUUUUUAAUAAUAAUAAAAAAGAGUUAAUGUCUGCCAUUAUUAAUAAUUAUUUUUUGCAUUUAAUUUGUAAAUAAUUAAGAUACUAUAUACUUUAUAGUUUCAGUAUCACCUUAUAGCUGCAUUCAUUCCCAUAGCCACCAUGAUUGUCCAUCCCAAUAUGUUCAUACUGCACAAUUCAGCAUUCCAGAUCAGUUCUUAAUUCUACUCAUAUACUGGGAUGUCAACAAAAAGAAAUUAAUUUAAACAAGAAUAAUAAAACUACAGCUAAACAUAAAAUUAAUUUGCUUUUAUACCAACUAUAUAUUUACCGGGAAUUUUCUUAUUCAUAUGUUGGAAAGUUAUAAGAUUAGAAAAAUAUCAUGAGGUAUGCAUGUGUGUCACUGUUAUUGUCUGUUUGUUGACAAAACUGCGUGCGUCAGAUGUGGUUGAAACUUUUAUUUGUUGAAUGAAUGCAAGAUUUUAGAUGAAAUCAGCAGAUCCUCCAGUAGGCGACCUUCACAUUAAAUAGAAACAAACAGUGCCCCACAAUCAACAAGUAGUGGUUAAAAUGAUUACUUAAAAUAAAUGCACUCACCAGAUAGACAACGCAUCCACUGAUACUUCGGCGUUCGUUAGGUAUCCAGCGAAAAGUAUCAAUGCCAUGAAAUACCAUACCUCUAAACUGCAAAUCAUUUUAUACAUUUAUUAACCAUUUCUCUCUUCUUUUCCUGGAAUCUUAAGUAUCUAUUUUUUAAAUUUAGAAUUUAAAUUCAAUUAUUAAUACUGUUAUAUUUACUUUUGUAAAAUUUAUUGGUGUGAUAUUUUAAAAUAACAAAAUAAUACUCACUUCAUAUUAAUGUAAUUAAAAAAUAGCUCGUAAUGAAUUUAAAUUUAACAAAAUAAUUUCAAUAGUGUUAAUAAUUGUAUUUAAAUUUUAAAAUCUUAAAAAAAUUUAAAAUAAAAGUAUAUGAACAAAAUUUUAAUUUUACAAGAGUACAUUAUUUUUUUACCUAAAUAAUACAAAAAAAUAUAAUUACAAAAAUGAAACAUGUUAUAAAUUACUUACUAGAAUAAUAUAUUUUCUACAAUAAAAUUAAAUACCACCAAUAUGUGUCAGAUGUGGACCAUCUAUAAAAAACAAUAUGUUAAUAAAAAUAAAUAAAUCCAAAAAUAGAUGUAUAAAAUUCAAAAUUAUACCAUAAUCACUCCAAAUUAAAGAAAAAGUAAUUAAAAGUAAGAGAAUUUUUUAAUUUAUUUUUAUUAAAAUAUUAUUUUUAUAACUGCGGCCGUCACAUUGACUACAUCCAAUUUCACUGUAAAAAACAUAUAAUACUCCUAAAUAAUCUAAAAUAUGUCCAUUUUCUUAAUUAAUACUUUUUAUUAUUUAAAUAAAAACCCAAGAGUACACUCAUAUUUUAAAUCUAAAAGAAAAUAAUUGGAUAUAGAAAUUUAAGGAAACUUGUUUUUUUAGGUCAUAAAGGUGAUGGAAACGUAGAAAAGAUGUCCAAUAAGGAUUUUUUUACCCCAUUAGUUUAAAAUAAAUAAUUAAAUAUUAAAAUAAUUACCCUACAAAUUAAUUAUCAAAAUGGAUUAUUUAUUACAAUAUUUUCUAAUAUCCCCUGACUCAGUUCAAUUCCCACAAAUAAUAUUAUUUUAUCAAAAAUUAAUAAAAUAUUAUAUGUAAGAAUUAAACUUACAACUAUCAAAUUAAACAUCACACACUCUACCACCUAAGCUAAAACAACUAUUCUUUUAUAUAAUAAUUAUAAUCACUAAUUAUAUUAUAAUUUGAUAUAAUUAAUAUGUCAAGCGACAUUAAAAAAUACUGUAACAAAUGAUUUAUUUUUAAAGGCUGUUGAGGUAAAAAAAGGGUCAAAUGAGAAAUGAUAUUGUUUCUAUCUUGUCAUGCCUUGUAUUGGACCUUCAUAAAAUAUUUUAAAGAAAAUGAUUGAAUGGUAGGUGUUCAACUGACAAGUAGGCUGACCCUUUGCCUCACUCUUUAAAAAAUAAUUCUAAAAAUCCCAAAAUUUAAAAUUAAUUUUUUUCAAUGUAUUUGUUUCAAAGUAUAUUUUAAAAAACUUAUAUCAAUUUUGAAACGUUAACUUUCGGUAUAAAUAUAAAAUAAAUAAAUGUAAACAGAUGUGAAAUAAAUAAAAAUAUUAAUAAUUUAUGAAAAUUAGAUAAAAAGUUAAAGUUUAUAUAAAUAAUUACGUGAAAUUAAAAUUAAGCAUUUAAAAAUAGUUUUAGGUAAAGGGUUUAAACUCGUUCUUAAAAAUGUUAUAAAACAUGUCUCAAAAAUAGAAUCGGAUUGAAAUUGGAAGAAUAAAAAGACCUAAUUCAUUUUUUAAAGUGAUUUUAAGUUUUUCUGCCUAGGUGACUUACCAGAGCAUUACUGCUGAAGCUAAAGACAAUCUAACAAAACCCCACAGAUGUUGAAAUGCCUUCCCAGAGAAGCCGGUCCAAGUCCGAUCACAUGCACCGCUAAUUAUGUACAAAAACUGAGCCACAACAAUGAAAAUCCACGACAUAUUUAAAACAACGGCUGCACCUACUAGGCCCCAUCCCAGCUUUAGCAUCAAGAGCCAGCUUAAUACAGUGUGCAGAACCAACGCCACUCCUGCUAUCACCGCCAUCACCAUGAUCUUGCUCUGCGCCUGUAAGAACUUCGCCAUCGGAAAGUUGAACGCGUAAGCAAACAGUUGAGGCAACAUCCAUAUUGCGAACAUUCCGGCCGCCUUCGAUAUGCUUUCUGUUUGGCCUAUUACCCUCAAAAAUUUUGCCGCAAAUAUGUAUAACAAGCUUAACAUCAAAGCCGUUGAGUUGAGGAUGACCCAUGAUCUUUGCAUGUACACCCCUAACAUAUCAACCUGCCCUGCUCCAAAUGCUUGGCCGCAUAAAGUUUCGAGUGCACUUCCCAUCCCAAGCUAUUCAAGUUUUAAUCAAGUAUUGUGUGAUUACUGUUAUUUGUAACUAAGCGAACAAAACUAAAACUAUUAACAAAGGAAAUUUAUUUUACAGAUUUACCAUGAUGCCAAAGGAGAAACCGGCGAUGACUGAAUUCUCCACGGAGACGGCGGCAAGAGCUAGAGUGCCAACUUGGCCGGAAAAGACUUGAGUGAUAGCGCCGAGGGAGUAUCGGCAGAGAGAUGUGAAGAUGGCGGGGCCAGCAAGGAACCAGAGCUUCUUGGACUCUAUCAGGUAUUCUCUGAAGAAGUCACGGACGCCGUUGAUCGGUGGGAUGUCAUCGAUGCCGGGCGUGAAGGUGGUGUUUGAUGGUCUAGAAAGUAACUGCUCCUGGUGGUGGCUGUCCUCGCCAACUAGCCGAGGGGAAAGAAGCGGUUGCUCAGCGUCCUCCAUAGCCAUAGGAGAGCACAAAGAGCAAUCGGCCAAGAUAUAUAUAGAUUAUAUGUUUAGGAUAUAUUAGAAUUAGAAUAAAGGGGUUUUUUUUUUACUUAGAUAAUAUAAAAAAUAAUAUUUAAAUACCAAAAUGGUAUUCCAUCUCUAUUAUUUACCAAAAUGAUAUGGAUUGAAUACUAUUUAGUGGCACUUUUAGCGGCGUUUGAAUAAAAAACGCCGGUAAAAAUCGAGCAUUAGCGGCGCUUUAUGGAAAUCGCCACUAAAGAUCGAGCAUUAGCGGCCGCUAAAAAUGAGCAUUCGCGACGUUUUUCAGAAAAACGUCGCAAAAAACCAAAGCCCAUCGGCGUCGUUUUCUUACCUUUCAGGGCUUUUGCAGUGUUUUCAAAAAAGCGCCACUAAUGCUCGGGGUUUUAGCGGCGUUUUUCAAAAAGCGCCGCUAAUACUCAGGGUUUUAGCGGCGUUUUUGAAAAAGCGCCGCUAAAAACAUUUUAUCUUAAUUGGUUUAUUUAUAUUAAUUAAAUAAAAUUCAAUUUAUUUCUAAUUGAAUAUUUAAAAUCUUCAGAAAAGAAUAAUAACACGUAGAAAUAAUUUGAAAUAAAACACAUGGAAAAAUUAAAAUACUAUUAUUUAAAAUAAUUUUAAAGUUUUUUGGGUACAUGAUUACUGAUUAUUUUUUAAUUUAUAUAUUAAAUUUUUUUUAUAUAAUCAUAAAAGAGUUAGUAAUAAUUUUAAAAUAUUGAAUUAAUUAUCACUAUAGUUUAGGAUUUUUGGUUUAAGGUAUAUGAUUUAUUUAAGAUUUAAGGCUGGUUUAGGAGUUACUAUUUUAAGGUUUAAGGAGUAUUGAUUAAGGAUUAUGGUUUAAGGGUUGAGAUUUAAGGUUUAAGGGUUAGGGGUUAGGGGUUAGGGGUUUAGGGAUUUAGAGUUUAGGGAUUCAUGGGUCGAGUUAGGGUUUUGGGUUUAGAUUAAUUAUUUUUUAAUUUAUAUUUUAAAUAUGUUUUUUAAUUUAUAUAUUAAAUAAUUUCAUAUAUAAUUGAAAAAGAUAAGAUAGUAUCAAUUUUAAAAUAUUUAAUUAAUUAUCAUUAUAGUUUAGGGUUUAUAUGGUUUACGGUAUAUGGUUAAUUUAAGAUUUAAGGCCAGUUUGGGAGUUACUAUUUUAAGGUUUGAGGAUUAUAUAUGGAUUUAGGAAUUACGGAUUAGGGAUUAUGGUUUAAGGGUUGGGAUUUAAGAUUUAGGGGUUAGGAGUUAGGAGUUAGGAGUUAGGAGUUAGGGGUCAGGGGUUAAGAGAUAGAGAUUUAGGGUUUUAAGGGCCGAGUUAAGGUUUAAGGUUUAGAUUAAUUAGUUUUUUAAUUUAUAUAUUAAAUAUGUUCUUAUAUAAUUGUAAAAGAUAUAAUAAUAAAUUUAAUAUAUUGAAAUUAUGAGUAUAGUUUAUAUUAUUUAAGAGAUACAUAAUAGAUAGACUUUAUGUAUAUUGAAUGGUUAAUUUAGGGUUUAAGGUUUUCUUGAGAUUUGUUAAAUAAUACAAUUUUAUACAAUUAAUUAAUGCUUUUAUAUUUAAAAAUAUUUAAUAAUUCUUUAUGUAAUUCUUUAUGUAAAAUUUUAAUAAUUCUUUAUGUAAAAUUUAUAAGAAAUAUACAAUAAUUGAAUAUAAAAAAAUAUGCGAGCUUUAGCGGCGUUUUCAGCAAAAAACGCCAUUACUAUGUACUAAAAUUUCCCAAAACGGCGCCGUUUCAAUAGAAGAAUUUAAAUUUCUUAGUGGCGUUUUCAGAAAAAAUACCGCAAAAGAUACACAUUACCGGCAUUUUGAUAAAAAACACCGCAAAUUUGUAUUACAAUUUUUCAAUACGGUGUCAUUUCAGUUUAAGUAGUGGCAUUUUUUCUUUAAAACGUCACAAAUGUGAAAGCAAAUAAAAGAUAAUCAAAAUCCCGCUCACUUCCAAAAAAAAAUUUUUGGUUACCCGCUCAUUACUCCCUCUUCUUCUCAUCUCUGUCGUGCGCCCUAAAUCCCCCAAAUAAAAGUUUGUUUUUCUUUAGCUGAAAUCCCCCAAAUUUCCCAUUUCCAACAACAGACUUCAAGGAAGAAAACCAAAAGAUGGGAUGGGAUCACCCAGACAUAUCGCUGGAAGAAAUGAUGAAACUGAUAGAAGGGUUUGUUGAUAUCCUGGUUUUUUUGUUUUGUUUUAUUUUUUUUAAUUUUAUUUACUUUUAGGACUUUUUAAGGAAUGACAAGAAAGAAGAAUCUGGCAAUGACAAGUUCGACAAACCCAUAUCAGAGACUAGGGUUUCAAGGGAAGAAUGUGGUUCAAAUGGGAGAAAUCUAAAUAAGAAGAGAAGUUAUGCACAGUUUCAUUUAGAGUUAGGUCAAUCUGAUUUUCUUUUCCAUGCCUGUUCAAUUUGUGGGGUCAAGUGUUCUCCCGGGGAUGAAGCUGAUGAAAGGAACCAUUCCAUUUUUCACAAGAAUUUCAGUCUUGGGGUUCAAUUCAAGGUACAUCUCUAAUUUGCUUAAUACUAUAUAUAUACACAUGAAGAAGCUUCUCUAAGUUUUCGCUUUGUGCUUUUUAACAUGCCUUCUGCAGUUCAGGAUUGUUCUGCUGCUAUUUACAUAAAUACAAUAGUAGCAAAAAAAGUAGUGAAUGAAGAAAAUAGAGUAUUUGAAGAAUUUGAAAAGUAGUGAAUGAAUGGUAAUUUUCACAGAAUCUUUUGACUUCUAGCUUCAUUUUACAAGUAUGGUGAAAUGAGAGGGUUGUUCAUGCAUACCUUAAACAGAACCAAGGACCAUUUUUCGCAACAAAAGUAUUAAGUACUGGCUGAGCUAAGUUUGUAAUUUACUGUUAAGAAAAAUGGAUUUUGCUAUGAUUAAAAAUUUAACAUGGGCUAUGUUGUUAAUCACUGUUCUCUCUUUUUUCCUUUUUUUUUUUUUUUUGUUAUUACUUGUCUACUUCAGUUUAAAGUGAGAAAAGGGUUUAUUUAGUGUCCUUUAAUCAUCAUUUUGGUGGCCAUUAAUGAGUAAAAGGGAGCGUGUAGGGCAUCAAUGACAUAACUUUAUCAUAUAUAUGCUACAUAACAUAAUGUGUCGGAUUUAUAUUCAUAUCUGAUACUUGUUUUGUGCUUGGUGCUAGAUAUUUCUUUGUAUUGUUCAUGAUUUAUCUUUUUAAAUAACAAUAUUAUUAGAAUAACUCCAUGAAAGGGGUUGAGAAGCAUAUAAUAAUUACAUGGCUAAAGUGAUGCCUUUUAUUCACAUGAAUCAAUGAUACAAAGCUAAAAGAUACUUAUUCAUGACUUAAAUUUUAUUAAUUUUUGGGUAAGCUACAAUUAUGCUUUAAGUUUUAUUUUUGGUCAUCUAAUUAAAAAAAUUACAAAAUAGUUAUCCAAAUUGUAUUUGUUUUUUUGUUUUUUUGUUUUUUUUUUGUCUAAUUUUGUUAAUUAUCAUUGACUUUGUGAUGAAAUGGCAGUUCUAAAAUCUUCUAUUUUCCUUUUUGUUCUAAACUCCUUCCCCAUAGAGGAUGGAUUUGGGAAAGUAAUGGAGGAUAAGAAAGGAGAAUACAAGAGAAAAAAGAAAAAAAGUUAGGGAAAGAAAGAUGAAAAAAGGUUAUAAUUAGUUUGUUUUUAAAUUACUUUUUAAGGCAUGCACUUUUUAAGGCAUGCACUUUAUACAAAAAAUAUGUUCGCUGCAUGAAAUUAACGUGUUAUUUACUUUUGUUCUGUUUCCUUUUACUUUCUCGAUUAGUCAUGGGGAGAAGUUGCUAGAUGUAUGUAGAAUUGCUUCUGUGUUGUAUGAAGUACUAAAGACAGUUAUAGCUGGUCCUCAGGUUCUAUUUCCCCUUAUGAUUUAGCCUUCUUACCAUAGUAUUUUGUAAUAUCUGGAUUUUGUUACUAUGCUUGUCAUCUUAUGUUAUAUCUCUUUUUUCCUUUGAAGGCCCUUGCUGACAGAGAGAGCAUUCAAGCUAGAUCUGAGUUGUUUGCCUACAAUAUUCUGCCACUUGAUCAUGGAGGUAUUCAGCAAGCAAUUAUGAAAUUUCCUGAGGUCUGACACUACACGAAUAUACUCUGGUUUUCUUUUUUCAGUCCACUUUUGUCUCUAAGAGGUAGUUGUCACAAUAUUCCCCAUGGGGACAUAUUCCAUGCUAGCCCAUCCCUUAGUGAAGCUCAGUUCCUUUGUUUGAAUUCUUAUGCUUUAAGUAGAUAAGGGUUUCUAUGUACUGCCUGAAAACAUUUUGUACUUCAAAUAAUAAUAUGCCAUAUGAAAAUAAAAUAUUUUACCAAUAAAAUAAAAUAAAAAACAAGAAUCGAAUAUCAAAAAAUUUGAACAUAGAAGAAGUUUAAUCAAUUUGCUUGCAAAAACUCUUCAAGGUCUAUCUCUUUUCAUCUUCUUAAUUAAUUGUUACUCUUCCCAAUGGUCGCCUACCAAAGAAAACGACAUUUUGCCAAUCAAACUAGGUAUGUGUUUUCUUGGUUUUUUAUAUAUAUUCUUUUCUUUUGACAAAGAACUUGAGGUUGAACUGAUUUGACUAAGGACUUGGAGUUGAACUAAUUUGAUUCUUGUUUUUUAUUUUAUUUUAUUUUAUUUUAUUGGCAAGAAAGAUAAAAUAUUUUAUUUAUCAAAUAAUCUAAAAGAUUUUGAAUUCUUAUGCUUGUUGAUAAAGUUGGCGAUUUUGAGUGGUUAAUUCAGAAAUCUCCAUUAUCUUAGACUUGCAAAGUAGAACAGGACACUAACUGUUUUGGUCCCUUUUAAUAGAAACAGAACUCUCCAGGAUUUCUGCAUUAUUAUUUAGUGUGAACAUUACUAAUGUAUUUCCAUAUGACAGGUUCGUUCAACUUGAUGUGGGUCUUCUAAAGGUCAGAAAUAAAAUAAGUUGAGCAUAUUAGGUUUGUCACUUAAAGGGCUCUGCAGAUUGUUUUAGAUUGGCUUGAUUUUUUAUUCACUCAAUAUUUCUCUUUAUCUCUCCAUUUGAUCCUGUUCUAGUAUCAUUUAGUACUUGUUCUCAUAUGUUCAUUGAUAUUUAAGUUAUGUUCUUUCGUGUUCGAUUAUUUUAGGUGCUGUUGAAGAAGCAAAAGCAGUUUUUGGUCAAGCAGCUGCUCUUUGUGUUCAAAAGCAGUACGUGGAUCAUGGGGCAGCUGGCCCAAUUUUGUAUAUUUCCAGUGAGGAUUAUAAUUUGGUUUUGUCGCGGAAUACAUUGAAUCUGAGAACUUGAGUGAUCUAGAAGAUGUUGAUACAUGUCUUAAGGUAUAAUUUACUUUCAGUUUACAUUUGUCAUCUCUAGCAAAUGACUCAAACUUGAAAGUUACUGCAGCUUCUGUUCUUAACAUUAGUUGUCUUAAAAGUUGCAUUUGAAUGAAUCUGAAAAUUAUAUAAUCCUAAACUUAGUGUUCCUGAACACAAUUAUAACAUCUUUUCUUAGCAUAUAAACUUAGCAUGAAUCAAGUCAAUGAUCAGUUUAACUUUUCAGGUUUGGAGCCAUCAAACACUGGUGGUGUUGUCUUCUUUAUGGUUCAGACUGCGAGAGUGGAGAGGAGGAUAAAUGAGACAGAUAACUACAGCAAAUUGGUGUAUGUAUAGGAAGCUUAAAUUUUUAUUUUGUAGCAUUAAGUUUUCUGUAGCAUUAAGUUUUUAUUUUGUAUGCAUUGGUGUAUGUGAUUUUAUCAUGAGGAUAAUUGUUUUCUGUAGCUAUCUUUCCAUUGUUUAUUUUAGUUUUGAUUCUAAAUUUUUAUUUUUACUUUAAUAUUUACGACAAGUUGAGUUCUAACUUUUGGAUUUUAAUUUUGUUAUUAAUUUAUUAUUUUAAAUUUUAAAACUAAAUUCAUUAAUUUUUAUAUUUAGUUUUAAAGUUAAAAUUUUUAUAGAAAAUUUAAUUUUAAUAAUAUUUUUAUUUAUCCAUAAAAAAGUAUAUUUAAAGUUAAAAUUUUAAAAAUAAAACAUAAUAUAAUAUUUAUCAUAAAAAUAAAUAUUAUUUGAUUAAAAUAAUUUUUUUAAAGUUUAUGUUUUUAGCGGCGUUUUUGCUAGAAGCGUCGCUAAAGGUCAUGGUCUAUAGCGGCGUUUGUGGGAAAAGCGCCGUUAAAAGUCGUGGUCUUUAGCGGCGUUUGUGAUAAAAGCGCCGCUAAAGGUCUUGGUCUUUAGCAGCGUUUGUGGGGAAAGCGCUGCUAAAAGUCGUGGUCUUUAGCGGCGUUUGUGGGAAAAGCGCCGCUAAAGUUAGCAACGCGUUCUUUAACGGCGUUUUUUUCGGCGCUUUGCAAAGCACUGUUUUGGUGUAGUGAGAGUUUGAAGGAGGCGGUUCCACCAUUAUUUUGCCGGCAAUCAUAACUCAAUCGUUAAGUAUAUAAUUUGUGUUAAAAAAUGUAUUUAAAUGAUGGAGGGAGUAGGACAGGCAACACCUGUAUCUAGUUUACACCGGUUAAAAUGUAGGUUGAAAAAAAUAAUUUUUAAAGGCUGGAGAAAGGAACCUGAAAGGCAACAUCAGUGGAGGCAGUGUUUGUUUUGCUGGAAAUCAUAACCCUAUCAAGUAUAUAAUAUGUGUUAAAAAUAUAUAUAUUUAAAUGAUGGAGGGAGUAAGAGAUGCGACAUCUGUACGUAGUUUAUACCGAUUAUAAUACGGGUUAAGAAAAAUUAAUUUUUAAAGGCUGGAGGAGGGAACCUAAUAAACAACACUAGUGGAGGCAUCGUGUUAGGUAGCACCUUCUACGACGAAAGUGACUACACACUCACGGGGUCUGACGGCUUAAAUGGGCUGAUUUAGGUCUCACGUGUGAAAAAAAAUUAACUUUAAAAGAGGCCAUGGAUCUUUCAACUAUAAAAAAAUAAAAAAAAUUAAAAAAAGAAAGAAAGAAAAAGAAGCUAACAAUUUAUGAGAAGAGAAGAAGGGGAAGAUGUAGCACAGAAGAGAAGAAAGGUUUUGAAAGGUUAAAUUUUAUUAUUGUAAUUUUUUUUUUGUUUAGGGCUUUAAAGGGAGGAAUAUAUUGUUAUGUGGUUUUAAUAUUUAUUAUAUGUUUGAUUUAGGGUUUAGUGUGAAAGGAGGCAACAACAAAUUCUUUGAAAGGUAAUUUUUUUGUAAUUAUAAUUUAUUUGUUUAAUAUUUUUUAAUACUUGGGGUACGUUUGGUUCGCUGUAAUGGAAUAGAUGUGUAAUGAAAUAUAUGCGUAAUGGAAUAGAGGCGUAAUAGGUAGUUCAAUUGUUUGGUUGAAUGAAAUACAAUAGAGGCGUAAUGGUAUUCUUGUGUUUGGUUGAAUGGAAUAGAGGUGUAAUCUCAUAAGGAAAAAAACUAAAAUGACUAGAAUAUCCUUAGCAGAAUUUUUUUUAGGUAGAUGAUUAUUGUUAUUGUUAUUAAAUUUUAAUAAGAUUAUUAAUAUAAAUAAUAAAUAAUUUAAUCAUAUUUAAUAAAAAUUAUUAUUAAAUAUAAUUUAAUAAAAAUAUAUAAUUUAAUCUAAAGUUUGAAUGUGUAUUUACCUAGCAAAAAUCAACGAACUCUCGUGUAACUAUAACCUAAUAAUAUAUUAUGUAUAAUUAAUAUUUCGUGACUAAUUAAUAGCAUAGAGAUAAAUAUAGUAAUGAAGAAUUUAUAGUAUACGAUUAAAAUGCUAAUAAUUUAUAGUAUACAAUUAAAAUAUUAUAAAUAAAAUAAUAGUAAAUGAUAUAUAAGAUAAAUUAACAUAUAAAUAAUUCAUAUAUUUAGAAGGAAUAAAGAUAAAUUUAGUAAAUAAUNNNNNNNNNNNNNNNNNNNNNNNNNNNNNNNNNNNNNNNNNNNNNNNNNNNNNNNNNNNNNNNNNNNNNNNNNNNNNNNNNNNNNNNNNNNNNNNNNNNNCAAUCAGGUAAAACUCUGAUCUAGUUAUCACUUAUGUCCAACUCUUCAAGCAUCUCAAGGUUUCCAAUUGAUCUUGGUAAGGCUCUUAAAUCUGCAAAGUUCUUCCUCACAUUCAAUUGAUCUCAAGGUUUCCCCACAUCUCAAGGUUGAAGACUCCCUCUUACUUCACAAUGUACCUAUUAAAAAUUAUUGUAACCUACUUAAGUUCCAUGUAGCAAAGGAAAAGCACAAGAAUAAACUAGAAUUAAAGCUGGAUGACAGAACAUAUGCUUCUGAUAGAAAUAUUGACAACAUCAAAACAGAACACAUCCAAAUUUAUGGAUUUUCUUAUCCCAAAAGUUGUAGUUUCAGAUUAAUAUAUCAAACCUAGCAGUACAUCUCUCAAAUCAUAUAUUAAUAUUCUAAUGAAAUAAAUUUUCAUUUGUUUUCUCAAUAAAGACAAAUCAAUUGAGACACAACCCACCAGGCUUUGGCUACCAGGAUUGCACGACAUGCCUACCAGUUAUGUUUGUAACUUGUGCUUUAAAAUUAAGUUCAAUUAAUUGCUUAAAUCUAUAGCCCCUGAAAUAAGAAGAAUAUAGAACAUGGCAUAGCUACAUUUUCACUCUUUCAUAAUUAUACAAUCAAACAAUACAUACACACACAGACAUGCAUCAAAUUCUGACCGUAUACAACUUGACAGUUUUACAUCUCUGAAUAGUUCAUGAGUUUCAACCAAAGCAUUACAGAAGUUGCAGUAAAAGACAGUGAUUGUUUUUUUAUUGCUUCUAACUACAUUAUGGUCUCAAAGAAAAUGCAAACCUCAAAUGGAGGGGAAAACAAGUGCAAGUGACCAUAAAUAGCUAUGCAUUUCAAUGCUCAAUUAGAUAACCAACACUCAGAUUUGUGCAUAAAGUGUAGUGUGAAAUUCUUGAUAUCUUUAUUAGGACAUUCUAUGUAUAAUAAUCUAAACUUAUACAUUCUAUGUAUAAUUAUCUAAACAUAGAUAAUAAAGUUGCACUCUGUUGCUAGAAGUAGCAUGACAAGGUCUAAGGCAACAGAAAACAUAUAAAGUUAGUAUGUUGGACACAAGUGCUGGACAUGGGUACUUCAAGAAAAAUUAUUCAAGCAGAUCAUGCCCGUCAAAUUUCCAAGUAAUUAAAAACGUCUUAACAUCAUUUGAUAUAAAUAAUUUCAAACCAUCAAAUAUAUAUAUAUAAAAAGACAAUAUUCUCAACAGAUGUGAUAGAAAUAUCAUAUGGAUUUAAAACUUUGUAUGCACAAGUGCUAUUAUGUUGUUAAAUCUGAGGUCAUUGUGAAAUAUUAAUUAGACAUAGUCUUCACAGAAUUAAUACCAAUUCUUUAGCAAAGUGAUUAACCUUGGAAACUACUUGGAUCAAAAUUUGCAGAAAAAGAACACCCAUAUUAAAUCAUAACCAACAUCAAUUCACACAUCAGGAAUCUAGAAAAUACUAUGGCACUUUGAGACAAUCAUCCCCCCUAAGCUCCCUCCAACAUAUACCCAAGUCUCUUACUGGUGAAAUUAAAGCUUCAAGAACAAGAGUAGAGUCAAAAACAAACAUCAAAGGGUAUAAUACUCAAAGCAGUCGUUAUGAAAACACUUCUUGUAUUAUUUUGCUUAAGUUUAAACUAGAUCUCAUCUAUAUACAAAAGAAUAUAUUAGAAAAGAUAUAUGCAGUAACCAAUACCAUGAUCCAUUUUAUUUUCCCAUUUUUGAUAUAACAAUGUCUACUAGAAAUAUUUUCCUAUAAAAGAAGAAAAAAAUAACCAAAAAACUUGCCUUCAUUGUUGCCUGCAGAGCAGCACGCAUCGCAUCUCGCUCAACUUGCCUAACAAUGACUGAAGUUCUUGUAGAUUUCCUUAUAAUUCUUUCACCUUCUACAUCAUCAGGGGCAUCAUGAUACAAAAUCAAACAAACACGACCAGAGAAGAGGAACAAAAUCAAAAAUCGCGGCAACAAAUAUAGAUUCGAAUGUCAACAACCACGAAAACCAUGAAUAAAAAAUGCUUAGGAAAUCAGGAUGCUGACCAAGAGUUGAAGAACCAAAAGUUGAAGAAUUGAAUAGCAAAUACAUUUGCAGCCCAAAAUUUUGUCUGUCCUAGCUUUGGCAAUGAAAAAAAAUCAUAACCAGCAAGAAACGAAAUGCCGAUUUACCAAGAAACUAAUGAACUGAAACAAUUGCACCAAAAACUAAUCGCAUUUAUAAAAAAAAUUGCAAUAACACCCACUAAAAAUGCAUACAGAGAGGAAAGAAAUAGAGAUUACUCACAGGCCUAUAUAUUUGGGAAGCCACUACAACCACACUUUCCUCACAUAAGGUUGAAAAUUUAUCCCAAAAAUACCCUAAUUUCAAUAGACAAAACCCACCAUUAGUUGAAGAACACAAAUCUGUUUUUGGUCAACAAAACAAUCAUGAGGAAGAAAAUAAAAAUUUGAAUUAAGUGAAAAAAGAGAAGAAGCACUUGCCGCUUCAAUUGGGCCGGAGAUCUGAGACCUUGGAGUCGGCGAAAGAUGCCAAGAUGAAAGUUGAGAGCGGGUGGAGGUUUGGUUCGCUGGCAGCUUCUGUUGAUGUUGGGAGGGAGAGGGUGGGGAGGGUAAAAGAAAGAUUAAUUAGCUAAUCCUUGCUUUUGGAAUGGAUUACAAAUCAGCGCUGAAGCAGAGAAAAUGAGGAAUACGUCCGUAACGUAAUAGGCUCGUAUUAGGGCAAUACACCGAACCAAACACAGGAUUAAGUGGGGCCUACGGAAUAGGGGUGUAAUGGCUAAUCCAUUACACGUACCCAACCAAACAUGGUGUUAUUAUUUGUUUGAUUUUGUGGUUUUGGAAGGAAAGGAGGCAACAACAAAUAUUAUUUUGAAGGUAUAUUUUUAUUUUGUAGUUAUUAUUUACUUGUUUAAGGUUUUGUAAUUCAUAUUAUUUGUCCUAUUAUGUGGUUUAGUAAUUCACAUUAGUUUGAUUUGUAAUUAUUAUUUAUUGGACUUUACCACAAUAAUUUAAAAAAAUAAUUAAAUAUUAAAAUGGGGUACCCUACAAACUAAUUAUCGAAAUGGGUUAUUUGAUACAAGUUUGUACGAUGAUCCAUUUUGGUAUUUAAUUAUUUUUUUGGAUUAUUGUGGUAAAAAAGACCAAAUAUGCGAUAAAUUAAUUGUUUUCAAGUAAAAAAAUUAUCAUAAUACUUUUUAUUUUUUAUAAAAAAAAUAAAUCCCAGAUGAGAUUUUUAAAAUAGAAAAGCACGUUCUUUGUUUUUCUUCUAAUAGAAAAAUUAUCACAAUAAUUUUAACUUUUUUUAUAUAGAUUUAUACAUCUUACGUUAAAUUGAUUGAAUAUUAAUUAAUUGGAUUGAAUUUUCUUUGUCGAAACCACUUUUUUGAUUUGAAAACAGAAAUUGACUUUUAAAAACGAAAAUGGGAGUCGUCACCGAUCCUUUAUUGAGGUGUGAUUGGCUCACCUUGAAAAUUAUUUUGGUCUGUGAAAUUUGAGAAAACUGGUUCGGGAGUCAGUUACGCACGAGGAAGGGUUAGCACCCUCGUAACACCCACAAUUGGUACCGAAUCGAUUGUUUAAUGUCUUCGUGUCGAAAGUUUGAAAAGAUUUUACAAUACGAUCCUUUAAACUUGAAUAAAUUUAAUUAAAUGAUAAGACACUCUUAUUUCAAAGAAAUAAAAUGUCACACCCAGUGAGUUAGGGCGCAACAUUUUUAAUCUUCAAAAUUAAGUUUAUCUUUUGACUUUUAAAACCCAUGCAUUUCGAGAAGGAUAUUUGGUUAUUUGACUCAAAUGAAAAAUCAAAACCCAGUAAGUUAGGGUUCAAUUUCCCAAAAUUCCUAAAUACCGAAUAUUGCCUUUAUUGUUUUUUUAAAUCCUUAAUUCGAGGUAGCAAAAUGUUAUAUCCAGUGACUUAGGAUCCAACAUUUUGAAGUCCCAAAAAACUUUUAUUUAAAAUUUGUAUGGUUUUAUUGCAAAAGAAAUACUUGGCUAUCUAAAUUCAUCGAAAAGGAUUGAAGCCUAGUAAGUUAGGGCACAAUUCUCUCGAGAAUCGUGAACACCGAGCAUUUUUUUGAAAAUUUACGAAAUGGAAUGACUUUAGUGCUUUUAUGAAACAUCAUUUUUAAAAAAAAUGUAGUAUGAUUGAAUGGCAAUGUAUGAUGCAAAAGAUAACUGGUAAUCCAAAUACACACUAAGGGAUAAUAAACAAGCAAUAGAUAACAAGAAUAGCAACAACAAUUUUAAUCACAUUAUGCAAAUAUCAAUAUUAAUAUUCAAAAAUUAAACAAAUCCAUCAUCAAAUUUUUAAAAGAUACACCGAGAUAAUACAAAAAUAUAUCCUAUGUAUAAAAGUUUUAAAAUAAAAAUAUAUAAGAAUAUUCAAAAGGUGAGUUUUAAAACAGAAUAAAAAUAAAACAUCAAAAUAUAUAAAUUAUAUCAAAUUUUCAUAAAAAUAUAUAUAUUAACAAACAAUGAAUUAAAUAAUAAUAUGUCAAGUUUGAAAAUAAAAGUAUAUAAUGAAUUUUAAAAAAUAAUGUAUGAUAAUUUUAAAAUAUGUUAGUAAUAAUUUAAAAACAAUAGCUUAUUAUAUUUUAAAACUAUACUAAUAGUGAGUUUAAAAACACUAUCAAAUUUAAAUAUUAAAAUAAUAUUAAUUUUUUUAAAAGAUAAUAUGUCAAAAUAAGACUAAUUAUAAUUAAAAUUAAGUACUAAAAAAACUAAAUUAAAUACUAAAUUAAAAAAAUAAAAAAAGACAAAUUUGAGCUAAAUUGAUAAUUGAUUCAACACUGCGGGACUAAAACAACAAUUAAACGCAAAGGCUCAAAGAUUCAAAACCAAUUAAUGAAAACGGUGCCGUUUAACCUUGGACCAAAAUGUGACUAGAAUAAAAUAUAUGGUAUAUAUUUAAAAAUUAAAGAAAAUCAUAUUGCAGCAAUACAAAACAAAGGGCGACUGGUUGCGAAAAUAAUCCAAUUAACCAAAAAGUGCUGAUCCUGCCCUCGGGUCGGGCCAUCACGCGGAUCUGAGCCUUCAAACGACGCUAUUUCGAAACCAUCGUAUUGGUAUCAAACGACGACGUUUUAAUCACCAUGCUUGAAGGCUAAAAUAACCCUAAAAGCCAUAACCCUUUCACUUAAAAAAAACCUAAACUAAACACUCUUUGCGCCGCUCUGUGAAUCGUCCACUCAAGGACUCUCCGAACCUAUCCUAAACUCCAAUGACGACGGGGAGAGCUAGGAUUCGGCCACAAGCCAAUCUCUUAACUUUCUAAUUUCCUUCCUUUUAUUCUUUUACUCGAAUCAUGAACCAAACAAGCGUAGAAAAGAAAACCAAAAGAAAAAAAAACGAAAGAUACAAAGGAAAAAAAAAUCAAAUCACCUUUAGAAUUCUGCUAUUUUCCUUAAAUAUUUUUCUUGAUUUUCAAUAUGUUGUAUGCGUAAUAUUUUUACAGAUUCUAAUGUAGCUUUAUAUAGCCAAAUAAUAUAGGAAAUAAAAAAUUACAGAAAUUAUUAUUUUUUCUAUUCUCUAUUUUUUGUUGUUAUUUGCUGCGUGACUGUUUCUGUUACUGCUGUUUGUUGCAGGAACGAGGCCAGCCUGGAGAAGAGGAAGCGCACGCGCGCGGAGGUGUAGCACGCGCGAGGAAAUCUGCAACGCCUGAGCCACUGUUGCGGCGGCUGAAACCACUAUUGCUAGGGUUCUAAUUUCUGCUUGUGUUUUAGGCUAAUUCGGGUAUAGGUUUGGGAUGUUUGUAUUGGGUCGUGUUGCAUUUUGGGGCUAGAGUCUGUAUUGGUUUUUUUUGGGUAAAUUAUUUUGGGCUAAUGUAAAUGGAUUAUUUUUUGGCAUGUUAUUUUAUUUUAUUUGGUUUUUAUUUUUUUAUUUAAUCUGCAUGGGCCUGGGCUAAAAUUGGGUAUUACAGCUGCCCCUCUUUGCUCGUUGUCGAAUAACGAGAACAGAGUAAAGACUUUAGAAAUGGCUAAUUUUUUCCCGGUCGCGCUAGUUCUUGGUGCUCUUCUUCUUCAAGUAACCUCAUUCUAACCCACUGCAUCUUCAAUGGUAUAGGAAUUAGUGAUUUGAUUCAUUCCACUGUGGCGCUAGGGAAAUAAGAUUCACUGUUGUAGCUUUAAUCUGUUCCACUGCACCUCCAGGGAAGUAAGAUUCGUUGUUGUUGCUUCAAUCUAUUUAACUACAAUGUCGGGGAAGCAAGAUUCGCUAUUAUAGCUUAAAUAUGUUCCACUGCAUCGCCAGGGUAGUAAGAUUCGUUGUUGUAGCUUCAAUCUAUUCCACUGUAAUGCCAAAGAGAUAGGAUUCGCUACUCACAGCUUUAAUCUACUCCACUUCAGCUAUUCCAAGUCUUAACGCCAAGGAGAUAAGAUUCGCUACCCUCAGCUUUAAUCUGCCCCGUUGCAACGCCAAAGACACAAAAUUCGCUAUCUUUAGCUUUUAAUCUGUUCCACUGCAACGCCAAGGCAAUAAGACCGGUGUUUUCGAUCUGCUUCGCCGCCAGUACAGGAAGGCAAGAUCUGCUAUUUUCAACCUACUCCAUUGCUGCUCAGGGAGAUAAGGCUGGUGUCUUCGAUCUGCUUCGCUGCCAGUAUAGGAAGACAAAAUCUGCUAUCUUCAGUCUGCUCCGCUGCAACUCAGGGAGAUAAGACUUGCUAUCUUCGAUCUACUUCGCUGCCAGUACAGGAAGACAAGAUCUGCUAUCCUCAGUCUGCUCUGCUGCAACUCAGGGAGAUAAGACUUGUUAUCUUCAAUCUGUUUCGCUGCCAGUACAAGAAGCCAAGAUCUGCUAUUUUCAACCUACUCCACUGCUACUCAGGGAGAUAAGGCUGAUGUCUUCGAUCUGCUUCACUGCCAGUACAAGAACAUAAGAUCUGCUAUCUUCAGUCUGCUCCGCUGCAACUUAGGGAGAUAAGACGUGUUAUCUUUGAUCUACUUUGCUGCCAGUAUAGGAAGACAAGAUCUGCUAUCCUCAGUCUACUUCGCUGCAACUUAGGGAGAUAAUACUUGCUAUCUUCGAUCUGCUUCGCUGCCAGUACAGGAAGACAAGAUCUACUAUUUUUAACCUACUUCACUGCUGCUCAUGGAGAUAAGGCUGAUGUCUUCGAUCUGUUUUGCUGCCAGUACAAGAAGAUAAUAUCUGCUAUCUUCAGUCUGCUCUGCUGCAACUUAGGGAGAUAAGAUUUUCUAUCUUUGAUCUACUUCGCUGGCAGUACAGAAAGACAAGACCUGCCAUCCUCAGUCUGGUCCGUUGCAACUCAGAGAGAUAAGACUUGCUAUCUUCGAUCUACUUUGCUACCAAUAUAAGAAGACAAGAUCUGCUAUUUUUAACCUACUCCACUGCUGCUCAGGGAGAUAAGGCUGGUAUCUUCGAUCUACUUCACUGCCAAUACAGGAAGACAAGAUCUACUAUUUUCAACCUACUCCACUGCUGCUCAAGAAGAUAAAGCUGGUGUUUUUGAUCUACUUCGCUACCAAUACAGAAAGACAAGAUCUGUUAUUUUUAACCUACUCCACUGCUGCUUAGGGAGACAAGGCUAGUAUCUUCAAUCUACUUCGUUGCCAAUAUAGGAAGACAAGAUCUGCUAUUUUCAACCUACUCCACUGCUGCUCAAAGAGAAAAGGCUUUAUGGUUUCACCGAUUUGUUCUCUGGGGAACAUGACCUGUAUAAUUCAUUUUAUGAAUCAAAUUAUGCCUAGUGAUUUGGAUGUCAUGAUCAGAAUGAAUCAAAUGCUCCUAACUAGAUGUGUAUAAAUGAUAUUUGAAUGAAUGAAGAAUUUUAUUUUUUUUGAGAAUGAUCCGCUCAGGUUAUCAUUACUCAAAGUUCCUUAAAAUUUUAUCACUGACGUGCUACAACGCCUUCUUGCUCGGCUGACAUCUCCAAAGAAACACUUAAUCAGAUUGCCCCCACUAUAAACUUCAAAGUUCAAUCUACUGAGAUGCAAAAAUUGUACCAUCUUUCUUCCACUGUAACCCAAGGGCAUAAAAAUCUAGCUUUUUCUCAAUCCUUUUCUAGCGCAAUUUAAGGAUACAGAAUGUGAAGCUCUUUGGUCUUUUACAUCGUUCUCAGGGUGUCAUACCAAAUGCCUAUACACAAAUGAAGAAAUCUCUUCUCCAAGAAUAGGUUUGUCACCAUUGUUUGCUUGUUCAUUUAAGCUUUGUCAUCAUUACGACAUCUUGUCAUUUUGUUCAAUCAAUGUUUUUUACAACAAAAUCCAAAGAGAUAGUCUUAAUUUAGACUCUUCCUUCUCAAAUUUCCAACCUUUAAACUUGGUGCGUUCUAAACAAUAGUCCUAUUUCAGGUUCCUAUAUUAUUUAGAAACUUCUAGAGUAAUAUGCGAAACUUCCCUUCUAAAAUUUUUAUUACUCUAUUAAUCAUUAUUCUAAUGCAAUAUGCUUGCAAAAAGAACAUAGCGAUGGAUAAAAUAAAAUUAAUUUGAGAGCAUAGCUCGAAAUGAAUAAAUUAUCAAGGAUAGUAAGAAUAAAAACAAAGAAAUUGAUUGGGAAUGCUUCUCUUGGAAAAGAAUGAAGUGUUCCAAGAAUAACAAAUUUAGUAUAAAUAGUAUGAAGAUUAGGUGCCCCAGAUAUCACAGCUUGAGCUUCUCUGUACAAACUUUCUGAAGACCAUUCUGAGGUUGACAUGUGUUUAGGAGAUCUACAGUACUCUGUCAAUGCCCCAAGAUAUCGCGUACCCUUUCCUGAUGAUUCUGAUAUAGCAAGAUCGUUGCAUGCCCCAUUCUGAUUAAUAUUUGAGCCGCACUGGUCAUCUCAUGCCCCAUUUUGAUCAAUAUUUGAGUCGCCCUUUUCGGGUUUUCAACUCAAAUCUCCUUUGGUCUCAAUGCGCCCUUUGCGGAUUUUCACUUUUUUUUUUAGGAAUCAAAGCGCCCUUUGCGGGUUUUCACCUUGGUCCCUUCUCCUUCUUCAGGUGAAGUAUUUCUUGACCGAAUCUAAGUUUACAGAAUUUGACAAGUUUUUACCAUCUAUCUCACUCAAGGUCGAAGCUCCUCCGGAAAAGGCCUUUGGCAUCCAUUUUCCUCUAAAAUCCUUUUGUAUAGGAAGGAUAUUUUUCAACAUUAAGUUCUCUUCAUAGAAUUCUCUGGGACGAACCUUUUUGUUGUAGGCCCGCAUCAUUCACCUUUGGUACAUUUGACUCUGCUGAAUAGCUUUUAGCCUUUUUCCCUCUAUUAGGUUCAACUGAUCACAUCGCGAUUGGAUCCAUUUUGCUUCAUCCAACUCUUAGCUCAACUAAUACCCAGAGAAAAGAGAUUUCUACUUCAAUGGGUAAAACUACUUCCAUCCCGUAAAUCAAAGAGAAAGGUGUUACCCCGGUGGAAGUCUUGAUAGAUGUUCGACAAGCAAGGAGGGCAAAUGAUAAUUUCUCAUACCAGUCCUUGUAAGUCUCAGUCAUUUUUCCACAAUCUUCUUAAUAUUUAUUUCUGGGUGAUACAGUGAUGAAUCGCGGUGUUUGAUUUUGAAUUGAUUACAGACCUCAGCUAUCGUGCUAUCAUUCAAGUUCAACGCAUUCUUCGAUACCAUCUUCUCUGGAAUUCUAUAUCGACAUAUGAUGACAUUGGUGUAUAAAGCAGCCUCUUCCCGUUUGAUGAAGUAAUUAAUGAUCUCAAAAAUGAAGCAAUACCCAUUAGAAGCCUUCGAUGAUGAUGACGUCCAGGCCUCAUUUUACUCAAAAUUUGAGUCGCCCUUUUCGGGUUUUCAACUCAAAUCCACCUUUGGUCACAAAGCGCCAUUUGCGGGUUUUCGCCUUGGCCUUUCAUUUUUCUUUUCUUUUUCAUUUUCCUUUUUCUUUUUUUAUCAUUUUUAUUUUUUUAUUUUGAUUUUGAUUUUUUUAUUUUGAUUUUGAUUUUUCUUUUUUUCUUUUCUAUUUUUUAUUUUUUUGAUUGAAUCUGAACUCAUAGGAUUAGUCUUUGUUACCCUUUUGAUCAGAACCAAUGUUUUUCUAGAUAAAGUCUUCCACAUAAGAUCUUCCACUUUCAUCUUGUAUGCGAAAAAUCUUCUUUGGUAUCAGAUUUCUUUCAUAGAGCCUUUUGGGGAAAAAUUUAACUAUGAUGAAAAAACCUUGGAUCUUCCUCUUCAAUUAGGAUGAAAUUUAACAAAAAUACGAAGCGAUCGACUUCAAUGGGCAAAGCUAUGAUAAGUCAAAAAAAAAGGCAUUCCCUACAUUCUUUAACCCGAAUGACCCCACUUUAUAGCAAAACGUUCCCCAUAAAGUAUGAAUAUGGUCUUUCCCAUAUCUUCGGGAUGCAUCUUUAUCUGAUUGUAUCCAGAGAAGCCGUCUAUGAAGGAAAACAGUGAGUAGCCUACCGUAUUAUCUACUAAAGUGUCAAUGAGAAGCAAUGAGAAAUUGUCUUUUGGGACUGGCUUUGUUCAAAUCCCUACAAUCCACAUACAUUCGUAUUUUCCCAUCUUUUUCAAAAACUAGUACGAUGUUGGCUACCUAUUCUGAAUAUUUGAUCGCUUGUAAAAAACCAGCAUCAAAUUACUAUUUGACUUCUAUUUUUUAGCACAAUAUCAGGUCUCAUCCUCUUGAGCUUCUACUGAACUGGCUUGCAAUCCUCUUUUAUAGGAAAGUGGUGCACUAUAACGUCAGUGCUUAACCCGGGCAUAUCUUGGUAUGACCAUGUGAAGACAUCCUUGAAUUCUUGGGGUAACUCAAUAAGGUCUCGCUUCAUCUUUGCGAUCAUGUCAAUUCCAAUCUUUACUAAGCUCAUAAUUUCUAAUGAUUCCUUGUGAAGUAGGAUCUGUCUAUCCUCUUGUUCUACCAUCCACAACAAGUCCGGACAUAAGCUACAAUCUAUGUUAUCUUCAAAGUCAUGAGAUCCCUCUAAACACAUGUCUCACUCAAAAAAAGAUUCUGAGUCUGUAGCAGCGUCACUCAUGUCAUUGAUAUCUGGGGACCCAUAGUAGGUACCAAAUAAUAUACAAAAGAAUAUAUGAAUUUAUGAAUAAUUAUUUGUACAAUAUGAUUAUGAAUGAAAGAAUGAUGUGGAAAAAAUCAAAAAGAAUGAAAGAAUAAUUAUUCGAAAAAAAUGAAAGAAUAUUGGCUCAAAAAUGAAUGCAAAGAUGUAUUUUAUUAUAAUAAUGACGUUCAGACAUAAGCCUAUUUCACAGAGGAAUUGCUAUCAUUAUUAGGCUAAAAACAACAAGAAUGUUUUGGACAUUACUCAAAGUAAGCUCUAAAAACUACAGGGAUUUCUUUCGCAGUCCAAUUGUUUAGCUCACUCCCAGGUUUAUAAGGGCAGAUCUCUAAAAAGGUCCCUCCUUCAAUUGUGUCUAUGGCAUUGAUAUGAACAUUUUCCAACCUUUCCUCAUACAUCGCAUUCACCUCAUUAUCAACAUGAUUGGGUAGUGGGUUUUCUGUACUGGAUGAAUCAUCAAUUGUGACAAUACCCAUACUGAUGAGCCUUUCAGCAAGCUUUUUAAAUGUGGUACAAUUUUCUAUAGAAUGCCCUAUAAUUCCUGCAUGGUAGUCACACUGUGCAUUCGUGUCGUACCAUUUGGGCUAUGGAGGUUGUAAGGGUUUCAAAUAAGAAGGGGAAACAACGUGUGCAUUGAAUAAACUCUGAUACAGCUCAUUAUACGACAUUGGAAUUGGUGUGAACUGGAGCGUCUCAGUGUUUUCCCUCAUGCUAGAUUCUUGUCUUGAUAAACCUUGUUGAUUCUUAGCCACCUUUCUUGGUUGAUUCACCGUAAUCGAUUUGCUAUAUGUAUUCACGUUGUUCACCCCGCUUUCCUUUUUCUUCGGGGCUAACCUUCCAUUACUUUCUCCAGCAUCAAUCUUUCCGCUCCUUAUGGUAUUUUCAAUCAUUUCACCAUUCAUGACUAUGUCAGAAAAGCUUUUUGUGGCACUUCCUAACAUAUGUGUGAUGAACGGGGCAUUCAAUAUAUUUAUAAAGAGCAUUGUCAUUUCUCUUUCCAAAAGCAGUGGCUGAACUUGGACGGCGACCUCCCUCCAGCUCUGUGCGUACUACCUAAAACUUUCAUUCGACUUAUUUUUCAUGUUUUGUAAGGUGAUUCUAUCAGGAACCAUUUCUGCUACAUGACUGUACUGUUUCAUAAAAGCCUGUGCCAAAUCCCUCCAGGAACUAAUCUUAGUACGGCUCAAUUGAUUGUACCAUUUAGAUGCUGCCCUUGUGAGUCUAUCCUGGAAGUAAUGUAUUAAUAGUUGGUCAUUGUUAACAUAUCCAGUCAUUCGCCUACAAAACAUGGUGAUGUGGGCUUCAGGGAAACUAGUCGCAUUAUACCUCUCAAAUUCUAGCAUUUUAAACUUAUAACGGAGCACCAAAUCUGGGACCAAACUCAAAUCUUUAGCAUCCAUUCCACAAUAGCUUUCAGUACUUUCCAUUGCCCUGAAUUUUUCUUCAAUCCAUUUCCACCUUUCUUCUAUCUAUUUUGGCAAUUCUUCCUUUGCUUUGUCUUUCCCAGCCACUUCGUCGAAAUUAGGGAUAAUAUGAUUAAUGGGGUUAUCUCUAGGGUUAGAGCUAGAUUCGGCUUGAAAGUUCAUUGGUAUUGAGGUACUAGCCUGAAACUACUGAGGCCUGAUUGUGACAGAGGAUUUGCACAAGUGUACCUCAACUUGGGUUUGCACAUGCGGAUGAGUAAAACUAGGAGGAUAGAGAGGUCCAUCAUUGUCUCCUUCUUCAGCAUUAGCCAUAGGGCCCUUCCCCUUAUUUACUCCACCCGUCAAUAGUUGAGUCAACUGAGCCAUCAUAUCUUUUUGAGAUUCCAGCAUCUUUUCUGUCAUAUCUUGGUAAAUUUUGUUUAACUGCUCAUUCAUUUGUAUUUGUAACUGUUCUUGCAAUUCCUUUUGAAACUGCUCGAGCUUUUCCAAUCUUUGAUCCAUAGUUCUUGACUUUGCUCGGGUACUGUAACGGUGUUUGGUUGAUUGGUUUUCCAGAUUAGCUAAGGAAUAAUUUUAACCAAUUAGGGCUUUUUAAUAAUCUUUAAUGCAUAUGAUGUCAUGUAAUGCAAAUGCAUGAAAUGAAUGCCUAAAGAGAUAUUGAUUCUGAUUCAAUUACAUUUAGAAAACUUUACUAGAAAACAAACUUCUUUACAUAAAACAGAUGCAUGUACGGCCUCGCCCUCAUAUUCUAAGAGACAACAUCGAUCCUUUCCUUCAUCCGUAUGUUUAAGAUGAAUCUCGUAAAUUUCCAAUGGAUGUCACUACUAGCUCCUUUUGCUUGAUCCUGGUCGCGAUCCAUUGUCUGCCUAUCUGCGUAAUGCUUAUCAGCUUCUUUAAGGAAGUUGGAAUGUCGAAGGCUCUUAGACAAUCAUCUUGAAUCUUCUGGCCACGAAGUAAAGUCAUGAACUCUUCCAUCACCGUUCUUGUGUUUCUCGGAAUAUAUUCAGGCAUCUGUAUUAUUUUCCGCUUUAUCAAGAUAUCUGUAUUCCAUGAUAAGUUUUCUAAUUUAGAAAUCAAACUUGAAUCAACAUUUCUUUUCUAAGAUGCAAAUGCAAUGCAAUCAUAAUCAAAACAAAACAAAACGAGUUAGUACAAAACAAAAGCAAACAAGAAGGAAAAAAAUACCUAGUCGGGUAACCACUAGGGGUUUGGAGUGGCUCUACCUAAGAUGGGUUCCUAAGGUCUUCUACAUGCGGUUUGGUUCUAAAGUCAAGGUACCCGAACCAGCAGAUUCCUCGAUCCUCACCCAUUAUAGGCUCAUAUGGACCGAGUUCGAUUCAGGGGAAUACAUUUCCCUAUGGCUGCACGGAGAUGAAAAUCUCACGAAGACAUAGGUACAGAUGUAUCCCGAAAGUGAUCCACUAUCCUGCACAAAGGUGAAAACCUCACGAAGGAGUAGCUUCUCACUCCUACUUAAGAAGGUAAGACUAAACAGCCUUUAUGCAAUAUGAUGCCAAUAUAUAAAACUCAAUUUACAGUAAUCAUACCACAAAUAAAUGCAAUGAGAGGAUCGUAAUUUUUCAAAUCAAAUUUUUAAUUUUCAACAAUAAGAUAAAAAAACAAUCAAUUUUAUGGCUUGACUCUCUAGGUCCCCGGUGGAGUCGCCAAGCUGUCGAAACUAUUUUUUUAUUUGAAAACGAAAAUCAGCUUUUAAGAACGAAAAUGGGAGUCGCCGCUGACCCUUUAUUAAGGUGUGAUCGGCUCACCUUGAAAAUAAUUUUGGUCUGCGAAAUUUGAGAAAACAAGUUCGGUAGUCAGUUACGCACGAGAAAGGGUUAGCACCCUCGUAACACCCAAAAUUGGUACUGAAUCGAUUGUUUAAUGUCUUAGUGUCGAAAGUUUGAAAAGAUUUUACAGUACGAUCCUUUAAACUUGAAUCAAUUUAAUUAAAUGAUAAGACACUCUUAUUUCAAAGAAAUAAAAUGUCACACCUAGUGAGUUAGGGCGCAACAUUUUUAAUCUUCAAAAUUAAGUUUAUCUUUUGACUUUUAAAAUCCAGGCAUUUCGAGAAGGAUAUUUGGUUAUUUGGGUCAAAUGAAAAAUCAAAACCCAGUAAGUUAGGGUUCAAUUUCCCAAAAUUCCUAAAUACCGAAUAUUGCCUAUAUUUUUUUUAAACCCUUAAUUCGAGGUAGCAAAAUGUCAUAUCCAGUGAGUUAGGAUCCAACAUUUUGAAGUCCCGAAAAAUUUUUAUUUAAAAUUUGUAUGGUUUUAUUGCAAAAGAAAUACUUGACUAUCUAAAUUCAUCGAAAAGGAUUGAAGCCCAGUAAGUUAGGGCACAAUCCUCUCGAGAAUCGUGAACACUGUGCAUUUUUUGAAAAUUUACGAAAUAGAAUGACUUUAGUGCUUUUAUGAAACACCAUUUUUAAAACGAAUGUAGUAUGAUUGAAUGGCAAUGUAUGAUGGAAAAGAUAACUAGUAAUCCAAAUACGCAAGCACAAGGAUUUUUACAUAGGCCCGACAUGAAUUAUGUAACACCUAUCGCCCGACAAAAUCAUUGGGUCCAAGCUAUGAAAUGCUACAUUCGUUGCCGAAGUAACCUUACUCAUUUAACUUUCAAUUUGAAUCAUUAAACAAGUAAUACAAGCAUUAUAAGUAAUAAAUUUAGUAUUCAACCAUUAUCUAGUCUUACACAAGCUUACAAAUGCUCUAAUGCUAACCCAUGAUCGAAAAAUGACCUAAUUGCAAAAUUUUAUAAACAUCGAUUCGUCGCGGAGAGGAGGUUCCUCGUUGCACCGGGCCUGGAAUCUUGGGCUCGUCGCAAUGUGACAUCUGUUUCUACAAUUAUACAAUACACAUAGGAUAUAACACCUUAAUAUUCAAUUACUACAUCCACUUGAUUUAAAGCAAAUCAAGACAUAUCAAUUAGCUCAAACAUUCAAAUAUCGACCUUCAACUAUGCCAUAUCAUAUUGAAUCAAGCCAUUCCAUUUCAAUUACUUACAAAUUUAAUUCACUCAUCAUAACCUUUAUGACCUUGAUAUGAACCAUAUUAAUUCCAAACCAAUACUUACCUCAAACAUGACGACCAAUCAUACCAAUUUCAACUAGAUAUCAAUUAUUUCAAAAACAUGCAUCCACUUAACCAUUCAUUUUACCUUUUACCACAAUCUUUUGUAUACCAAUUUCAAAAAGGUACUUAUAUCACCUCCUCAAAACUUCAAACAUUGCCAUGAAACAUAUACAAAAUCUUCACAAGCCAAAUUCAUUUCCAUGUUCAAAUCAUCAAGACUUUAAAACAUUAAAGUAUGUACCAAGACACUUAUAUACAUGCCACAACCCUAAGUUCAAAAUGAUUAAACAUCCACAGAUUUGGUGAUAGGAUAGUGUAAGCUUUUAGUCGAUCCAGCUUGACAUGUUCCAAGGGUAACAAUCUACAAGAAAAAUGGAAAACAAACGGAGAUUGUUGGUAAGUUCAUAGGCAUUAAACAAAAGUUUACUUUAGUUUUCAAUUAAGCACAAUAAGCUACUAGCUUGACAUAAAUUGUCUAGACAUGACAAAUCACAAUAACAACAAGGUGAACUUUAACAUAUAAUAAAACUGCAUAACAUCUAAAUCACUUAUCAUAUCAAUUCAUGUCAUUUUGUACAACAAUUUUACAAUCUCCAUUACACCGGUGAACUCUAGUAAAUGGAUUUCAAUACACGGGUAUCUCAAUUACACCAGUUGCUCGUCCGAGCUAAAUAUAUUUGUGUCAGGUUACUCAUCUGGGCUAAAGCUUUAAAACGACACCAGGUUACUUGUCUAAGCUAAACAUAUGCCACAUGUAUCUGAGUAUCUAUAACUAAUGCUGGAACUCAGUAAUCAUCUGUAACCAAUCCAGUAAUAGUGCACACAAAACCCUAUUGACAUGCCAAUUGUAUCCCAACCUUUAUCACCCAUUACACAAUUUAACAUUUCUUUACAAUUUAGUCCAAAUCUCAACUUUUGAAUCAAUUCACAACCAAUCACAUAUAAUUAGAAACCAAGUACAUAAUAAUCCAUAUGAAUAAUUACCAUAUGAACUUACUUGGUCAAAGCAACAAAGAAGUUAAAUUUUAAGUGGCUAAUAGAUAAUUUUGGCUUCUUUCUAAUUAUCUUCGGUUUGAUCCAAUUCUUGAUCUAUACUUAUUUUAAAUAAUUCAUCAAUACCAACAAUUUUCAUAUUAUACCAUGAUAUGUAUGAACCUAUACAAUUUUAUUUUUCUAAUACCUAUAAAUUUUUUACAUUUUAUUCAAUUUAGUCCAUAAAUUCGAAAUACUCAUAAAUUUCAAUUUUGAGCUUCGAUCUGAAAACUGUAACAUCUAUACCCAACCUGGUCUCUGAGUUCGGGUCUCAGAUGAUACAAAUCCUGAAUAACUGGCUAACACAUUUGAGUUAUGUUCUCAACUAAUUGACAAUACACCAUAAUAUAUACUAGCAUAAACAACUUUUAAAAUUUCUGCUUUACAACUUCAUUUAAAACUUUGACUUUCAAACUCUAAAAUUUUAUGACUUGACUAAAACCCCGAGGCAUAGUCUCUAGGAGCACCCCUUUAUACACAUGUUACAGCUGCCACUCCCUUCUCUUUCAGGUUGGCGAAGUCUGGCUCAACCUCCAUUUGAUUUUCGGUGACAACUUUAUCCUGUAAUUAAGCAGUCCAUUUGUAUGUUCAAUAAAACUUAGUGGGAAUUCUGCAUAAUAGACAUAUAGCAAAAUUCAAAACUAAGGGAUUGGAGUUUAAAAAUAAUUUUUCCACUCUCUAGUCAUCCUUGGCCAUUAGCUGAUUGUAUCGAUGAGGUCUUUGUCUUCCCCUUUUUCCCUGCAGCCUACCGUUGAUUGACUUUUUCUCUAUAUGUAAUCUACACAAAUUUUCUUCUAGAUAUGGGUUCUCUAGGAACAUGGACUUGAACACACCUCAACCAAAUUUAUUUUCCCACGCAACCUUAGAUGGGAGACCCAAUGUCAGUCAUUGGUUAUCUGUCAUUUAUUUCCUUGGGUUUCAAAUUCUUAUCCUCCUUAUUUCCUUGACAAACUACCUGCCUUAAGUUAGUCCUUGACGGACUCCUUCUUUUUCCAACUCAAGUGACUUAACCUUGUAUGACCUCGAUAGACUUAGCCACCACUAAUAGCCCCUUAUUCGUGGACUCUUUAGUCUCGGUCCUUUGUCAGGUACAUUCUCGCUUGUUUCGUCAGCCUUAGAGCUCAUUCCUUUUUAGCGACCCUCAUCAAUUAUCGUUGCUGCUAAGAUCCUCCACUUUAGAAUUCCUGUGUCCACUUUCCCUGUUGAUUCUUCAUACUUCCAUAGUUGAGCUAUGGUCUCACACUCUUUUAUCCCAUUUUGAAUAUGCUGGUGGUAUUCUCAUGUCUUCUAUUCUAGCAGACUUUACCCUGAUUAUCAUCUCAACAGAUUAUCCCUUAUUUACUGUCUCGCGGACUACCCUGUGAUUACUGCCCCAGCAGACUCCACAUGACACCAUAGCCGAACUAUGGUCUUACACAAUAUAACACAUGUUUAAAGUCCUACAAAACUCUAUUGGUUGCCAUAGCCAUACUAUGGUCUUACACCUUGUAAUCGUUGUGUUUACUGUCUCGAUGGACUAUCCAUGAUGCUGUAGUGUCUUCCAGCUAUGGUCUUACUCAAUAUAACCCCGUGUUUACUAUCCCGACGUACUAUCAAAGGAUGUUAUAAGGUCUUUCAGCUAUGGUAUUAGUCUUAUUUACUAUUUUGGUGUACUUUCAUAUGAUGUUAUAGCAUCUUUUAGCUAUGGUCUAACUAAUUUCUAUCAUGAUAUCAUAACAUAUUUCAGUUAUAGUCUUACUCAUUUUAGGCGUAUAACCUCUAAUUGGAUCUAUGGCCUAGCCAUGAUCUUUCUUAUUUACACUUCCCAUUGCAUUCCUUCUAUUCCUCCAUUUAACCUUUCUUAACCUUGAUGCUCAAACAUCGCACUGUCUCCUCCGCAAGGCCCGAAGCUUUGCACAUCGUAGUUUGCACUCAGCAAUACCGUAUGGCGAUAUCUAAUAGAAUCACCCUUUUUCCCAUUCUAACUUCAUCUAUCCCUUUAAUAAUUUCCUACCAUGGUUCACCAUGUAUAGCAUACAAACACAAAUAUUUGGAAUCACUAAAAACAUAGUAAUAAGGAACAAGCCAACUAAUACAUGAGUCAUUUACCACAUUCACACCAAAUUUAUGCUAUUCAUUCAACAUCUCAGAAAAGGAUAUAAAAACUCACAUUUCUUCCUUAUUUUUAAUAGCUUAGCUUGUUCUAAUGCUAAAGCCUCAUUCAUCCUCGUAGCUAAGCAUAACAAUAAUUUAUUGAUUAACUUGAAGUCAUUCAAACUUUAAAACCCAUAAUUUAUAAUUUUACAAAAGUUCAAAGGAUUCUUACUCUACUUUUUUUUCUUCAAUCCACAAGUUCAAAGGGAUAAGGAAACUUACCAGUUUUCGAUCUUUGUACUUCUAGACUCAAAUCUGCAUGAAGGUUGCAACAUGCAUGACUUCCUUUAGCUACAUCCUCUUCUUCUUCAUGGCGACUGAAGAAGACGAAGCUUAGAGAGAGAUUUUGGGGAAGCAAAAUUGAGAGGAAUUUCAUUCCCACGUACACCUAUAUAUACUCCAUCAGCACGGUCUCCACAAACCAUUGCUACCACUUAAUCUUAAUUAUUAUGUCUCCCAUUAUGCAACCAACCGGUUCCAAUCUAACUAAACCAUGAUUGAAAUUUAAUCAUCCUCUAACCAACCACUCAAGUUUUCUAAAUAUCUCAUUAGAGUCAUCAAGUUCCCCUUUCCAUCCAAUUGGCUCCCAAACUUUUCUUUAAGUUAGGGUCCUCAGGGGACCAGGCAUGACAACUUUCCCACCCUAAAAGAAAAUUUCGUCCUCGAAAUUUUUCUCUUGUGGUGGGUCAUGAGCAGCCUGCAGGAAACCUAUCCUUCUUAAGAUUAAGAACAUAAGUAAAUACCAUCUUUUCUGUUGCUAAACAAUAAUUAAAACGUUGAGGUAUAAUAAAUCGACAUUUAAACUAAGUUUUCUACUAAAUUAAAUAAAUGUUUUAAAAUAAUUAUUUUCAAAAACUCCGAUAAUCCUGCUAGGCCAUCUCGGUGGCUGAUGUAAUCCCUUGAAUUUAGGUCUAACGUCUAGGCCAGGUUAGGGAGGUUACAAUACCAUAAUGAUUACAUGGACCAAUAUUUUGGCACCGACAUCGCCCGACAUUGUAGAUUUCAGGUCAUUUUUUUAAGUAAUAAAGUUUUCGGGUUAUUUUUGAAAAAAAAAACCCCUAUUUUUGUAACAUUUUAUAGUUGGGUAACCAAAAAAAAAGAAUUUACUUUCUUUGGACCAGUACCCUUUCCGAUUUCAGUCUAAAUGGUUCAAGCGAUUGAUCUGGUUCAAUUCAAACAACAUUGAUUCUAACAAUUAUUCUCAUUAUCCAACGGUUGGUCUAUUAUCACAUGCUCAUUUUGAUUUUAGGGGUUUAAUUUUCAAGAUGAGAAACCAAAAAAUGAAUAUUUAUAUAUUUUUAACACUUUAUAAUUUUAUUUUAAAAAAUAAAUUUUAUAAUUUAUUAGAACUUAUUAGAUUUUUUUAUAAAUUUUUAUAAUAUUUAAUAAUCUUUUAUAACUUUUAUAAGGUUAUAUCAAUUUUAAUAUAUUUUUUUUAUUUUUAUAAGUUUUUAAUAAUUUUAUAUGUUUUUAUAAAAUUCAAAAUAUGUUUUGUUAAUUUGAUUAUAAGUUUUUAAUGUUUUCUUUAUAAUUUUUAUAAGUUUAUAUCAAUUUUAUUAUUUUUUAAAUAUUCUUAAUUUUUAAUAAUUUUAUAAUUUUUAAUAAUUUUAAUUUUUUAUUAUUUUUAAGAGAAAAUAUAAAAUUAAAUUGGAAGUUACCACAUCUUACCAUCUUAUUGUUUGUCAAUUUAUUUUGUUCAUCUUAAUAAAAGACAGAAAUAAUUAACAAAAAAGCUCAAUUGAAUUUUUUUUAUUAACAACAUAGCUUAAUUUGGUGCGAAAUUAGUGUACUAACUUAAUUAAUUUUUUCCGUUUUUUUCUUUUAAGGUUUCUUUUACCUAUAACCCAAUUGUUUAAUAGAAGAUCCUAAGGUAUAGGUAAAAUGUACAUACAAAAUGGUUCAUGGAACACAAGAAAAUAAAAACAAGGCUUAGUAUAACCUUUGUUGCUUGAGUUUGAAAAUUUUUUAAUUUGAUAUUUAAGAUUUUUUUUAAUUCUUUAAUCUUAAUUCGACAUUUUUUCUUAAUUCAAUACUUAAAUUUUUUUGGUCUAAUUUGAUACUUAAACUAGUUAAAUGUCAUAUAAAUUACCUCAAAAAUACUAAUGAUGUUAGUUUUUUAUGAGGGAACAAAAUAGCUAAUGUAAGACUGACAUGUGAUAAAUGACGUGAAAUUUAAUGAAAAAAAUGUUUACAUUUAUUUGGAGUUUUUUUUGUUUCGCUAAACAAUAUAUUUAAAUUUUAAUUUUGUUGGCACUAAUAUUAUUGUAAUGGUUAAUGGUAAGAAUUAUUUAAGAGGGUCCGUGUAUUUAAAACAUGGCCAGGUCUUCACAAAUUCCUCGAUUUCACAAAACAUUGUAGAAUUAAAAGAAAUUUGUGUUAAAAAUUACAUUUCGAGCUAUGAUUAAUAAAUGGAUAUUGAAGAUGAAAACAAGACUUUUAAAAACUAAAAUAAAAGAAAUCUAUUAUGUUAUAUAAAAUUAAAAUUAAUUAAACAUUUGAAAUAUAAAAAAGAAAGAAAGAAAAUUCUAUAUCAUCUACACAUAUGUUAGUUAUACAUUGUUUGUUAUGUACUCAAAAAAGAAAUGUUUACAUGCAUUGAUAGCUAUUGAUGAAAGAUUUAUUAAAUGGUUUCACUUAAUUUCUUGAUAAGACUUUAUUUAUAAAUGUAAAAAUAAUUAUAUAAAAUUCAAAUCCGUAAUUUAAAAAUAAAAUAAUAGUUCAAGAUAAUUUAAAAUUAGGAUGUUGAUAAUAAUUAAUUUAUUUAAAUAUUUCAAACCUAAUGCCACUAUUAAUAGGAAUGAUAAUCUCAUAGACGCUCUCAUGAAAAUGAACGUGAAAACUAGUUUUCUUUUGUCUUAGUAAAUAAAAGAGCGGAAGUAACCCAUAAGAAAAUUCUAAUUCAAUGUGGAUAAAUUGGAAUCUAUCAUUGUCAGUUCUCUAACUGAAAUUGGGGUUCUCCAAUAGAUGAAAACACAAUAGCUCUUAUUAAGAUUCUUUUUAGCUAUUGUUAUUAUUAUCUUGUAGCAUAUUCUUCUCUCCAGAGUGAAUUUCGCCUCCCCAUUUCUUUAUCCUCUCCUCCGCAAUUGAAGCCUGCAAUAAUAUAUAUAUAUAUAUAUAUAUAUAUAUAAUUCAAGUUAGAUGCAACAUUUGUAGUUCUUUUCUAUUUAUCUGUUUAAUUUUUCUUACCUCUUUGGUCCAAUUGGUUCUGUAAAUCAUUCCUACUAGUACACAAGUUUGCACGACUGUUCCUGUUAACAUCCCGCACCAAAUUCCCUGGAGAGUAAAAUUAAAAGAAGCAAUUGAGUGUUUGCAGCACUCAGCAUUUUUAUAAAUUCUCUUGCACUAUAAACAUUUUCUUGAAAAGUUUUUAUUUGAGUUGGAUGAUGGAGAAGAUACAUACCUUGACACCCAGGUUAAGCGCAAAACCUAAUGUGAGACCCAGAGGAACUCCAAAAAUAUAGUAGCAUGCAAUGUUUACAUAGGCAACAGCAGUUUGCCAUCCAGCUCCAACGGCCAUUCCUAUAUAAUAAAUAAUUUUGUUUAUAAUGUUUUAAAGGCAACUGAUAUCCCUGAAACUAAUUAAGAAGCAAAGAAGACGAAACCUGAGAGGACAGGUUGAAUAUUGUUGAUGAUAAUGCAGAGGGCUAAGAGUGGAGUGAGGUCUAUAACCAUCUCUUGAACUUGUGAAUCAUUUGAAAACAAGCCGGG
Molecule: long non-coding RNA, 33759 nt
Filed under: Gossypium raimondii (Peruvian cotton)
Lineage: Eukaryota; Viridiplantae; Streptophyta; Magnoliopsida; Malvales; Malvaceae
Description: long non-coding RNA (GRAI_LNC004074)
Source: RNAcentral